UUUACUGUAACACAGACACACCGAGGUUUACUGUAACACAGACACACCGAGGUUUACUGUAACACAGACACACCGAGGUUUACUGUAACACAGACACACCGAGGUUUACUGUAACACAGAGACACACCGAGGUUUACUGUAACACAGAGACACACCGAGGUUUACUGUAACACAGAGACACACCGAGGUUUACUGUAACACAGAGACACACCGAGGUUUACUGUAACACAGAGACACACCGAGGUUUACUGUAACACAGACACACACUGCAGUUUACUGUAACACAGACACACACUGCAGUUUACUGUAACACAGACACACACUGCAGUGUACUGUAACACAGACACACACUGCAGUGUACUGUAACACAGACACACACUGCAGUGUACUGUAACACAGACACACACUGCAGUGUACUGUAACACAGACACACACUGCAGUUUACUGUAACACAGACACACACUGCAGUUUACUGUAACACAGACACACACUGCAGUUUACUGUAACACAGACACACACUGCAGUUUACUGUAACACAGACACACACUGCAGUUUACUGUAACACAGACACACACUGCAGUUUACUGUAACACAGACACACACUGCAGUUUACUGUAACACAGACACACACUGCAGUUUACUGUAACACAGACACACACUGCAGUUUACUGUAACACAGACACACACUGCAGUUUACUGUAACACAGACACACACUGCAGUUUACUGUAACACAGACACACACUGCAGUUUACUGUAACACAGACACACACUGCAGUUUACUGUAACACAGACACACACUGCAGUUUACUGUAACACAGACACACACUGCAGUUUACUGUAACACAGACACACACUGCAGUUUACUGUAACACAGACACACACUGCAGUUUACUGUAACACAGAGACACACACUGCAGUUUACUGUAACACAGAGACACACACUGCAGUUUACUGUAACACAGAGACACACUGCAGUUUACUGUAACACAGACACACACUGCAGUUUACUGUAACACAGACACACACUGCAGUUUACUGUAACACAGACACACACUGCAGUUUACUGUAACACAGACACACACUGCAGUUUACUGUAACACAGAGACACACACUGCAGUUUACUGUAACACAGACACACACUGCAGUUUACUGUAACACAGACACACACUGCAGUUUACUGUAACACAGACACACACUGCAGUUUACUGUAACACAGACACACACUGCAGUUUACUGUAACACAGACACACCGAGGUUUACUGUAACACAGACACACCGAGGUUUACUGUAACACAGACACACCGAGGUUUACUGUAACAGACACACCGAGGUUUACUGUAACAGACACACCGAGGUUUACUGUAACACAGACACACCGAGGUUUACUGUAACACAGACACACCGAGGUUUACUGUAACACAGACACACCGAGGUUUACUGUAACACAGAGACACACCGAGGUUUACUGUAACACAGAGACACACCGAGGUUUACUGUAACACAGAGACACACCGAGGUUUACUGUAACACAGAGACACACCGAGGUUUACUGUAACACAGAGACACACCGAGGUUUACUGUAACACAGAGACACACCGAGGUUUACUGUAACACAGAGACACACCGAGGUUUACUGUAACACAGAGACACACCGAGGUUUACUGUAACACAGAGACACACCGAGGUUUACUGUAACACAGAGACACACCGAGGUUUACUGUAACAGACACACCGAGGUUUACUGUAACAGACACACCGAGGUUUACUGUAACAGACACACCGAGGUUUACUGUAACAGACACACCGAGGUUUACUGUAACAGACACACCGAGGUUUACUGUAACAGAGACACACCGAGGUUUACUGUAACACAGAGACACACCGAGGUUUACUGUAACACAGAGACACACCGAGGUUUACUGUAACACAGAGACACACCGAGGUUUACUGUAACACAGAGACACACCGAGGUUUACUGUAACACAGAGACACACCGAGGUUUACUGUAACACAGAGACACACCGAGGUUUACUGUAACACAGAGACACACCGAGGUUUACUGUAACACAGAGACACACCGAGGUUUACUGUAACACAGAGACACACCGAGGUUUACUGUAACACAGAGACACACCGAGGUUUACUGUAACACAGAGACACACCGAGGUUUACUGUAACACAGAGACACACCGAGGUUUACUGUAACACAGAGACACACCGAGGUUUACUGUAACACAGAGACACACCGAGGUUUACUGUAACAGACACACCGAGGUUUACUGUAACAGACACACCGAGGUUUACUGUAACAGACACACCGAGGUUUACUGUAACAGACACACCGAGGUUUACUGUAACACAGACACACCGAGGUUUACUGUAACACA
Long non-coding RNA from Salvelinus fontinalis (brook trout), 2388 nucleotides. RefSeq lists it as uncharacterized. The transcript is spliced from 3 exons. The record is from RefSeq and is a predicted model, not a curated record. Lineage: Eukaryota; Metazoa; Chordata; Actinopteri; Salmoniformes; Salmonidae.